RNAcentral lists this ribosomal RNA (465 nucleotides) under Vreelandella stevensii. RNAcentral's name for it is "partial 16S ribosomal RNA". It matches the Rfam family "Bacterial small subunit ribosomal RNA", at positions 338 to 795 of the family's 1533-position model. The record is from RNAcentral. Lineage: Bacteria; Pseudomonadati; Pseudomonadota; Gammaproteobacteria; Oceanospirillales; Halomonadaceae.
CCUACGGGGGGCUGCAGUGGGGAAUAUUGGACAAUGGGGGCAACCCUGAUCCAGCCAUGCCGCGUGUGUGAAGAAGGCCCUCGGGUUGUAAAGCACUUUCAGUGAGGAAGAACGCCUGGUGGUUAAUACCCAUCAGGAAAGACAUCACUCACAGAAGAAGCACCGGCUAACUCCGUGCCAGCAGCCGCGGUAAUACGGAGGGUGCGAGCGUUAAUCGGAAUUACUGGGCGUAAAGCGCGCGUAGGUGGCUUGAUAAGCCGGUUGUGAAAGCCCCGGGCUCAACCUGGGAACGGCAUCCGGAACUGUCAAGCUAGAGUGCAGGAGAGGAAGGUAGAAUUCCCGGUGUAGCGGUGAAAUGCGUAGAGAUCGGGAGGAAUACCAGUGGCGAAGGCGGCCUUCUGGACUGACACUGACACUGAGGUGCGAAAGCGUGGGUAGCAAACAGGAUUAGAUACCCUUGUAGUC